RNAcentral lists this ribosomal RNA (251 nucleotides) under uncultured bacterium. RNAcentral's name for it is "partial 16S ribosomal RNA". It matches the Rfam family "Bacterial small subunit ribosomal RNA", at positions 15 to 254 of the family's 1533-position model. The record is from RNAcentral.
GAUCCUGGCUCAGGAUGAACGCUGGCGGCAUGCCUAAUACAUGCAAGUCGAACGGACCGAAGGGAAAGCUUGCUUUUCCUGAAGUCAGUGGCGAACGGGUGAGUAACACGUAGGUAACCUGCCCAUGUGCCCGGGACAACGCCUGGAAACGGGUGCUAAAACCGGAUAGGUAGAGGGAUCGCAUGAACUUUCUAUUAAAGGGGCUACGGCCCUGAACAUGGAUGGACCUGCGGUGCAUUAGCUAGUUGGUG